ACUAAUCGGUAACACGAGCGCUGAUUGCGAUUGUUGGUUCAAACAACUCUAGGACAUUUGAGCCUUCCCCUUCGUUGUUAACAGUAAAUACAGAGAAUACUAUCUCCACACAGAAGAACAUCACCGACAGAAGAACAUCAAACUAUUAAUAACUUUCCUCACACAUGCACAAUGUGCAUUGCUACCGGGUGUUUUGUUACAGUACCUAUCGCUCCCACCGAACCUGUAUGUUCUACAGAGCGACUGCCAGAGGAAAUGCGCUUACCAUGUAAAUGAAAGACGGAACGUUGAGGAAAUUGGGACUAUAUUUCAUUCGAUCGUUUGCUGAGCCUUCACCGAUGUGGCCAGGAUGAAUGGAAAGGAUUACAAACGCCAACACGACCAAGUUGACAUAGAAAUGGAGGUAAAGGGCGAACAAAAAACGCAUAGCCAAGAAUAUCGGGAGGAACCGGUUGAACGAAGGACACAAAGCCAAAAACAUCGGGAGGAACAGGACGAGCCGAGGACAUAUAGCCAAAAACAUAGGCUCGAAGCUGGGGGCAAAACACGUCGAAGUCGGAGUAAAAGUCCGCGGCCUGCACAGGAUGACUGGAAAAAUCCGUCUGGGUCUAUGAAAAACGGUGAACAUGAAAGAAAAAGGGACUCCACAAGAUCUGGCGAUCAUCGGCAACGCCGUCUUAGUGAUGAUGGUGACGCUUAUCAUCUGAUACGGGAAGCCUCUUAUAGAAAGGACCCUAGGCGGGCAAGUGAACCCGCAGCGGUUGUUAAGCCACGGUACCCGCCGCCGCCAGACCUAGAGACGUACCCUACCCAGCCUAGGAGUUUUCUUUGGUUGGCUAUGCUUACUGCUAUUGUGAAUAUAGUUUUUGGGAUUGCUGCUUUAGUUUGUGCCAUCACCUCAGAUAACGCUUGGGCAGCAGGACGCAGGGAGGAAGCAAAAAAACGUGGAAGAUAUGCCCUAGGUUUUUGUAUCCUUGGCAUCAUAUGCACGGCCAUCAUAAUCAUCGCCGUGCCAGUCUCCUACAAGUACAUGUCGCUUUAACGUAAGCACGGGAUGACCGCAUCGAAUGUUUUCGUUCACGGGUUUGCUCGCAAACGAGAACCAACCGGAAGUUGUACCAAAACAUUCUGAUGACUCGUGUAGCAGGAUGGAUGACUUUUGGCUAGUCUAAAUGAAGUUCAGGACGGUGAAUGUCUGCCAUGGCUAUCGGAAAGGAAAGUGAACGCUUCAUUCUUGAGAUGUACACGAUUACAACCGGAGAAUACAUCAGACAGGUCAUUUGUCAUUUGUCAUUGUCGAUGAUGAAAAGGAUGCCUCGAUGCAUUACGGAUGUACUACAUGUAAGAUUUAUACAUAACAUGUAUUGACACGAUGUUUCUUCAACACCAUCAAUAGUGCUGAUGAGAGAUGUGGGUAACGCCAAAAUGGCGCAGACUUUUUUCAUAACCGCGCCUGAAUUUGCUGAAACCAUGAUAUUUUCACGAGAAUCAGCGAGAACGGGAAGAGCGUGGUGAAUUUUAUAAACAGGAGAUGUCGCCUGAGCAGCAUUCGCGAUGAACGGUUUUUUGACCGAUUUUAUGCAAAAGGAAUUUUUCAUUGCGAUAACUAGAACUUGGUGUUGGCCAUCCACCACCCUCCGUAGCCAUGGUAACUUAUCGGCGAUUGGUUCAGUUAUUCUAAAGCCUAUUCCGCCGACGCAGGAUUGGGGACUUCUAAUUGGUCAACGCGACCGGAACCCUUUAAAGUGCUGCUUAUGAAUUCAGUAUACCGGCAACGAUACUUGCCACUAACAAGAAAUGUAAAUAUUUUACCAAUUUGUCUUCGCAAACACUUUCAAUAAUAUUUAAGGUAUUUGAAGAAAACGUAUGCACAGAAAUGUUACAACCCUUAUAUUUGGAAUUUUUCUAAUGAUUUUUUUCUUUGUGUGAAUUUUGAAUAAAAGGAAUUA
Long non-coding RNA from Lineus longissimus, 1949 nucleotides. RefSeq lists it as uncharacterized. Lineage: Eukaryota; Metazoa; Nemertea; Pilidiophora; Heteronemertea; Lineidae. The record is from RefSeq and is a predicted model, not a curated record. The transcript is spliced from 3 exons.